Non-coding RNA from Ictidomys tridecemlineatus (thirteen-lined ground squirrel), 100 nucleotides. The record is from Rfam. NCBI's taxonomy places the organism in Eukaryota, Metazoa, Chordata, Mammalia, Rodentia, Sciuridae.
GUCGUUUUCAGUUCAAAAGUGUGAUGAUUGGGUUUUGCGUUGGGUGAAAUAUGCCUUUCUCUAAAUGUUGUUAGAAUAUCAGUGCAUUACCCAUCUGACA